UGGGGAAUUUUGGACAAUGGGCGAAAGCCUGAUCCAGCAAUGCCGCGUGUGUGAAGAAGGCCUUCGGGUUGUAAAGCACUUUUGUCCGGAAAGAAAUCCUUGGCUCUAAUACAGUCGGGGGAUGACGGUACCGGAAGAAUAAGCACCGGCUAACUACGUGCCAGCAGCCGCGGUAAUACGUAGGGUGCAAGCGUUAAUCGGAAUUACUGGGCGUAAAGCGUGCGCAGGCGGUUUGCUAAGACCGAUGUGAAAUCCCCGGGCUCAACCUGGGAACUGCAUUGGUGACUGGCAGGCUAGAGUAUGGCAGAGGGGGGUAGAAUUCCACGUGUAGCAGUGAAAUGCGUAGAGAUGUGGAGGAAUACCGAUGGCGAAGGCAGCCCCCUGGGCCAAUACUGACGCUCAUGCACGAAAAGCGUGGGGAGCAAAACAGGAUUAGAUACCCUGGUAGUCCACGCCCUAAAACGAUGUCAACUAGUUGUUGGGGAUUCAUUUCCUUAGUAACGUAGCUAACGCGUGAAGUUGACCGCCUGGGGGAGUACGGUCGCAAGAUUAAAAACUCAAAUGAAUUGACGGGGUCAUAGCUGUUUCCU
Molecule: ribosomal RNA, 590 nt
Filed under: uncultured bacterium
Lineage: Bacteria
Description: partial 16S ribosomal RNA
Rfam family: Bacterial small subunit ribosomal RNA
Source: RNAcentral